UUGCUGAUCGGUUCGCCUGUGUGCACUUGUACGCAUGGUCGCCACCCCUUGAGCUAAAUAAUCGUGGGCUCCCAUAAAGGAAGUAAAGAUACUGAAAUAUAUGAUAUGAUAUUACUUCCAUGUCAGCUUUGCUACUAAUCUUGGACCAAAUUGGGGAUCAUUUUUCUCUCUCGUGUGACGUUAGAAAAGUUGUGUACAUCAUGUGCUUAAAUCUCUAGACAGCCAAUAAAGGUCAGGUGAUAAAACCACGAUAUUACCAUAACAAGCAAAUCAAGUUAAUUUCAGGUGACGACAGGAUGAACACCGUCCACCGCUCGUAUUGCAUGCGCCUACAUCACGCGAUUUCUCAGUUCGCUAGGAUUUGAUCCACUCCUUUUGCUGAUGAUAUAUCCGCUACAUUAUCCUCUCCCCCUCCAACAACUUGGUCGACUGUCGUUGUUCAACAGUGAAGCAGGAGUCAACAUGGGUGUCUGAAGUUGUGAACCCCUGCUGGAUUCUGUACUUAGCAAACAACAGUCUAGUUGGUCGCUGCUGGAAGAAAUAAGAUCCCUGUUUGGGUUCAGCAUUUGGGAUGUCUACCACUUGGAAGACUGUCUGACACAGUAAGGUUAUCUCACGCAAAAUUAUAAUCUUAAGCGAUACAUAGUGUCUGCAGCCCUAUAAAAUUACUAUCUUGUGAUGUUAACUCGGGGAGAUUGGAGGCCUACAAUGUCCCCUUUCUCAAGGAAUGUAUUUUUAUAUUUUGAAACACUGUUCCUCAGAAAGCAGAUUUUCAUGUGCCAGUGAGUAUCAAAUGUGUCUGUGUUCUAGUUACAAGUUGUGUUCUAUGUCUCACCAACUUUUCUGCAUUUGCCCAUGGAAAAGUGGGUGAAGUGCACGUAAAAGAGUUACAUUUGGGACUGAAGAAAGCCAUUGCAACAGAACAAACCCGAGAUGCUGCUGCCUUAAUCAGCAUGCUCAUUGAGGAGUUAAUGUGGUCAAGCUCUGAGGCACUCACACUUUCAUCUUACAUGGACAAGACAAUUGGAAAUUUCGAAUAAAGAUUGUUAAUUUCUCU
Long non-coding RNA from Pocillopora damicornis (cauliflower coral), 1057 nucleotides. NCBI's taxonomy places the organism in Eukaryota, Metazoa, Cnidaria, Anthozoa, Scleractinia, Pocilloporidae. The record is from RefSeq and is a predicted model, not a curated record.